RNAcentral lists this ribosomal RNA (119 nucleotides) under Pteropus alecto (black flying fox). The record is from RNAcentral. Lineage: Eukaryota; Metazoa; Chordata; Mammalia; Chiroptera; Pteropodidae.
GUCUAUGGCCAUGCCACCCUGAACAAGCCCGAUCCCGUCUGAUCUCGGAAGCUAAGCAAGGUCGGGCCUGGUUAGUACUUGGAUGGGAGACCACCUAGGAAGACCAGGUGCUGUAGGUG